Molecule: long non-coding RNA, 141 nt
Organism: Drosophila navojoa
Lineage: Eukaryota; Metazoa; Arthropoda; Insecta; Diptera; Drosophilidae
Source: RefSeq, a predicted model, not a curated record
CAACAAGAUGAAGUUGAUUUGGUUCUUAGCUUUGUGUGCUGCAAUUUGCAAAUCUGCUCUCUGCUUUACUCCUUACUCUAAACAUAUCAAUGAAAAGAAUGGCUGGUACAUACCUAGAUCCGAUGGCAGCUUUUAUUGGAU